GUAGGGGCCAAACGUUUGUCCGGGUUUAUUGGGCGUAAAGGGCUCGUAGGCGGUUCAACAAGUCGGUCGUGAAAUGCCGGGGCUCAACCCCGGAACGCCGGUCGAAACUGUUGUGACUAGGGUCCGGUAGAGGUGAGUGGAAUUCUCGGUGUAGCGGUGGAAUGCGCAGAUAUCGAGAGGAACACCAGUUGCGAAGGCGGCUCACUGGGCCGGUACCGACGCUGAGGAGCGAAAGCAUGGGGAGCAAACAGGAUUAGAUACCCUGGUAGUCCAUGCCGUAAACUGUGAACACUAGGUGUGGCGGAUCUAUUGAUGUCUGCCGUACCGUAGCUAACGCGUUAAGUGUUCCGCCUGGGGAGUACGGCCGCAAGGCUA
Molecule: ribosomal RNA, 375 nt
Filed under: uncultured organism
Description: partial 16S ribosomal RNA
Rfam family: Bacterial small subunit ribosomal RNA
Source: RNAcentral